RNAcentral lists this ribosomal RNA (589 nucleotides) under fungal endophyte. RNAcentral's name for it is "eukaryotic LSU rRNA". Lineage: Eukaryota; Fungi. The record is from RNAcentral.
CGUAGGUGAACCUGCGGAAGGAUCAUUAAUGAAAUGUAAGGAUGCUCUUUUUAGAGGUCCGACCAAAUCAUUUUCCUUUCUACACUGNUGCACACACNUACANCUUUWUACACCNUUUUUAACUCUUCAGNUUUUAAGAAUGUAUAACAGUNCUCUUUAUUGAGCAUAAAUAAAAUAAAACUUUCAGCAACGGAUCUCUUGGCUCUCGCAUCGAUGAAGAACGCAGCGAAAUGCGAUACGUAAUGUGAAUUGCAGAAUUCAGUGAAUCAUCGAAUCUUUGAACGCACCUUGCACUCUUUGGUAUUCCGAAGAGUAUGUCUGUUUGAGUGUCAUGAAACUCUCAACCCCCUUAUUUUGUAAUGAUAUAAGUGUGGGCUUGGUUCAUGGUUGUUGAAGGCUUAACAGUCUUCUCAACUGAAAUACACGAGCUACCUAUUUUAUAAUAGACGGUUUGACUCGGCGUAAUANACUAUUUCGCUGAGGACGUCCUWWYAUAAUAGUAAAUGGUGCUUCUAAUUWAACAUCAAUUUAAGAUUUAGACCUCAAAUCAGUCAGGACUACCCGCUGAACUUAAGCAUAUCAAUAAGCG